RNAcentral lists this transfer RNA (75 nucleotides) under Candidatus Levybacteria bacterium CG_4_10_14_0_2_um_filter_35_8. RNAcentral's name for it is "tRNA-Met". It matches the Rfam family "tRNA". From Rfam's summary of the family: Transfer RNA (tRNA) molecules are approximately 80 nucleotides in length. Their secondary structure includes four short double-helical elements and three loops (D, anti-codon, and T loops). Lineage: Bacteria; Candidatus Levyibacteriota. RNAcentral also lists the same sequence under 4 other names. The record is from RNAcentral.
GCCAGGGUAGCUCAGUUGGUUAGAGCGCGGGAUUCAUACCCCCGAGGUUCGGGAGUUCGAUCCUCCCCCCUGGUA